GUUUUUCCUUCGUUUUAAUCUAU
Molecule: small nuclear RNA, 23 nt
Filed under: Arabidopsis thaliana (thale cress)
Lineage: Eukaryota; Viridiplantae; Streptophyta; Magnoliopsida; Brassicales; Brassicaceae
Description: snRNA_18212
Source: RNAcentral